Molecule: ribosomal RNA, 303 nt
Filed under: uncultured bacterium
Lineage: Bacteria
Description: partial 16S ribosomal RNA
Rfam family: Bacterial small subunit ribosomal RNA
Source: RNAcentral
AGCAGUCGCCGCGGGAAUACGAACCGUGCGAACGUUAUUCGGAAUCACUGGGCUUAAAGCGCGUGUAGGCGGAUGGGAACGUCGGUUGCUGAAAUCCCCCGGCUUAACCGGGGAACUGGCACCGAUACGGCUCGUCUGGAGGGAGGUAGGGGGGUCUGGAGCUUCCGGUGGAGCGGUGAAAUGCGUUGAGAUCGGAAGGAACGCCCGUGGCGAAAGCGAGGCCCUGGACCUUUUCUGACGCUGAGACGCGAAAGCCAGGGGAGCGAACGGGAUUAGAUACCCCAGUAGUCCCUGUCUCUUAUA